This 235-nucleotide long non-coding RNA is filed under the name Elaeis guineensis (African oil palm). RNAcentral's name for it is "long non-coding RNA (EGUI_LNC005529)". Lineage: Eukaryota; Viridiplantae; Streptophyta; Magnoliopsida; Arecales; Arecaceae. The record is from RNAcentral.
AGUGGCAGUUGCAUGCUUUUAAGAUGCAGGAUGGUUCAACUAUGUAAAUUUAGUCCUAUUAUGGUGAGCAUACUUGUCUAAGAGAGGUUUGGAAUAGGAACAUGAAAUCUAGUUACUUGGUCAAAAAGUACCUUGACAGAUUCAAGACUCAAGUCUUUUUGGAUGCAAGUGAGUUGAUUGUGCAGGUCAGAAAGAAUUUGAAUGCACAAAUAUCAAAGUCCCAAGCAUAUUAGGC